Molecule: ribosomal RNA, 466 nt
Filed under: uncultured Paraglomus
Lineage: Eukaryota; Fungi; Glomeromycota; Glomeromycetes; Paraglomerales; Paraglomeraceae
Description: SSU rRNA
Rfam family: Eukaryotic small subunit ribosomal RNA
Source: RNAcentral
AGCAGCCGCGGUAAUUCCAGCUCCAAUAGCGUAUAUUAAAGUUGUUGUGGUUAAAAAGCUCGUAGUUGAACCUUGGGCCUGGCUAGCCGGUCCGCCUCACCGCGUGUACUGGUCCGGCCGGGCCUUUCCCUCUGUGGAACCCCGUGCCCUUCACUGGGUGUGGCGGGGAAACAGGACUUUUACUGUGAAAAAAUUAGAGUGCUCCAGGCAGGCCUAUGCUCGAAUACAUUAGCAUGGAAUAAUAGAAUAGGACGUGUGGUUCUAUUUUGUUGGUUUCUAGGACCGCCGUAAUGAUUAAUAGGGACAGUCGGGGGCAUCAGUAUUCAAUUGUCAGAGGUGAAAUUCUUGGAUUUAUUGAAGACUAACUACUGCGAAAGCAUUUGCCAAGGAUGUUUUCAUUAAUCAGAACGAAAGUUAGGGGAUCGAAGACGAUCAGAUACCGUCGUAGUCUUAACCAUAAACUAUG